UGACAUGAACACAGGUGCUCAGAUAGUU
This 28-nucleotide non-coding RNA is filed under the name Mus musculus (house mouse). Lineage: Eukaryota; Metazoa; Chordata; Mammalia; Rodentia; Muridae. The record is from RNAcentral.